This 503-nucleotide ribosomal RNA is filed under the name uncultured bacterium. RNAcentral describes it as "partial 16S ribosomal RNA". It matches the Rfam family "Bacterial small subunit ribosomal RNA", at positions 356 to 867 of the family's 1533-position model. The record is from RNAcentral.
GGGGAAUAUUGCACAAUGGGCGAAAGCCUGAUGCAGCGACGCCGCGUGCGGGAUGAAGGCCUUCGGGUUGUAAACCGCUUUUAAUUGGGAGCAAGCGAGAGUGAGUGUACCUUUUGAAUAAGCACCGGCUAACUACGUGCCAGCAGCCGCGGUAAUACGUAGGGUGCAAGCGUUAUCCGGAAUUAUUGGGGCGUAAAGAGCUCGUAGGCGGUUUGUCACGCCUGGUGUGAAAGUCCAUCGCUUAACGGUGGAUCUGCGCCGGGUACGGGCAGGCUAGAGUGCAGUAGGGGAGAUUGGAAUUCCCGGUGUAACGGUGGAAUGUGUAGAUAUCGGGAAGAACACCAAUGGCGAAGGCAGAUCUCUGGGCUGUUACUGACGCUGAGGAGCGAAAGCAUGGGGAGCGAACAGGAUUAGAUACCCUGGUAGUCCAUGCCGUAAAACGGUGGAUGCUGGAUGUGGGACCCUUCCACGGGUUCCGUGUCGGAGCUAACGCGUUAAGGCAU